RNAcentral lists this ribosomal RNA (253 nucleotides) under uncultured bacterium. RNAcentral describes it as "partial 16S ribosomal RNA". It matches the Rfam family "Bacterial small subunit ribosomal RNA", at positions 524 to 776 of the family's 1533-position model. The record is from RNAcentral.
UACGUAGGGAGCAAGCGUUGUCCGGAACCAUUGGGCGUAAAGCGCGCGUAGGUGGCUUCGUAAGUCCGUUGUGAAAGUCAAAGGCUCAACCUUUGAAAGCCGAUGGAUACUGUGAAGCUAGAGUACGGAAGAGGCGAGUGGAAUUCCUGGUGUAGCGGUGGAAUGCGCAGAUAUCAGGAGGAACACCAAUAGCGAAGGCAGCUCGCUGGGACGUUACUGACACUGAGGCGCGAAAGCGUGGGGAGCGAACAGG